This 491-nucleotide ribosomal RNA is filed under the name uncultured bacterium. RNAcentral's name for it is "partial 16S ribosomal RNA". It matches the Rfam family "Bacterial small subunit ribosomal RNA", at positions 29 to 506 of the family's 1533-position model. The record is from RNAcentral.
AGUGAACGCUGGCGGUAGGCCUAACACAUGCAAGUCGAACGGCAGCACAGUAAGAGCUUGCUCUUACGGGUGGCGAGUGGCGGGCGGGUGAGGAAUACAUCGGAAUCUACUUUUUCGUGGGGGAUAACGUAGGGAAACUUACGCUAAUACCGCAUACGACCUACGGGUGAAAGCAGGGGAUCUUCGGACCUUGCGCGAUUGAAUGAGCCGAUGUCGGAUUAGCUAGUUGGCGGGGUAAAGGCCCACCAAGGCGACGAUCCGUAGCUGGUCUGAGAGGAUGAUCAGCCACACUGGAACUGAGACACGGUCCAGACUCCUACGGGAGGCAGCAGUGGGGAAUAUUGGACAAUGGGCGCAAGCCUGAUCCAGCCAUACCGCGUGGGUGAAGAAGGCCUUCGGGUUGUAAAGCCCUUUUGUUGGGAAAGAAAAGCAGCAGGUUAAUACCCCGCUGUUCUGACGGUACCCAAAGAAUAAGCACCGGCUAACUUCGG